RNAcentral lists this long non-coding RNA (201 nucleotides) under Elaeis guineensis (African oil palm). RNAcentral's name for it is "long non-coding RNA (EGUI_LNC075397)". The record is from RNAcentral. Lineage: Eukaryota; Viridiplantae; Streptophyta; Magnoliopsida; Arecales; Arecaceae.
CUGGGCACAGUCAAGUACUUGCGAAGUCAGAGUGUGAUCGAGAUGGGAUUGACAACUCCAAGAGUUGGAGAAGAAUGAGUCAUUGUAUUUCAAUUUAGCAAAAUUUUGGCCAGGAUAAUCCAUCAGAUGGAUUUGAUAUUUUGAAAUACAAUGUGGACAACCUGAUCAAAGUUGACAGUUGAACUCUGAGGUGUCCUAUGA